RNAcentral lists this ribosomal RNA (921 nucleotides) under Staphylococcus sp. EA_L_11. Its description in RNAcentral is "bacterial SSU rRNA". It matches the Rfam family "Bacterial small subunit ribosomal RNA", at positions 31 to 935 of the family's 1533-position model. Lineage: Bacteria; Bacillati; Bacillota; Bacilli; Caryophanales; Staphylococcaceae. The record is from RNAcentral.
AAACAGGGCGGCGUGCUAUACAUGCAAGUCGAGCGAACAGACGAGGAGCUUGCUCCUCUGACGUUAGCGGCGGACGGGUGAGUAACACGUGGAUAACCUACCUAUAAGACUGGGAUAACUUCGGGAAACCGGAGCUAAUACCGGAUAAUAUAUUGAACCGCAUGGUUCAAUAGUGAAAGACGGUUUUGCUGUCACUUAUAGAUGGAUCCGCGCCGCAUUAGCUAGUUGGUAAGGUAACGGCUUACCAAGGCAACGAUGCGUAGCCGACCUGAGAGGGUGAUCGGCCACACUGGAACUGAGACACGGUCCAGACUCCUACGGGAGGCAGCAGUAGGGAAUCUUCCGCAAUGGGCGAAAGCCUGACGGAGCAACGCCGCGUGAGUGAUGAAGGUCUUCGGAUCGUAAAACUCUGUUAUUAGGGAAGAACAAAUGUGUAAGUAACUAUGCACGUCUUGACGGUACCUAAUCAGAAAGCCACGGCUAACUACGUGCCAGCAGCCGCGGUAAUACGUAGGUGGCAAGCGUUAUCCGGAAUUAUUGGGCGUAAAGCGCGCGUAGGCGGUUUUUUAAGUCUGAUGUGAAAGCCCACGGCUCAACCGUGGAGGGUCAUUGGAAACUGGAAAACUUGAGUGCAGAAGAGGAAAGUGGAAUUCCAUGUGUAGCGGUGAAAUGCGCAGAGAUAUGGAGGAACACCAGUGGCGAAGGCGACUUUCUGGUCUGUAACUGACGCUGAUGUGCGAAAGCGUGGGGAUCAAACAGGAUUAGAUACCCUGGUAGUCCACGCCGUAAACGAUGAGUGCUAAGUGUUAGGGGGUUUCCGCCCCUUAGUGCUGCAGCUAACGCAUUAAGCACUCCGCCUGGGGAGUACGACCGCAAGGUUGAAACUCAAAGGAUUUGACGGGGGACCCGCACAAGCGGUGG